CAGCCGCCGCGGUAAUACGAAGGGUGCAAGCGUUACUCGGAAUUACUGGGCGUAAAGCGUGCGUAGGUGGUGGUUUAAGUCCGUUGUGAAAGCCCUGGGCUCAACCUGGGAAUUGCAGUGGAUACUGGGUCACUAGAGUGUGGUAGAGGAUAGUGGAAUUUCCGGUGUAGCAGUGAAAUGCGUAGAUAUAGGAAGGAACACCAGUGGCGAAGGCGACCACCUGGACUGAUACUGACACUGAGGUGCGAAAGCGUGGGGAGCAAACAGGAUUAGAUACCCGCGUAGUCCCUGUCUCUUAUAC
Molecule: ribosomal RNA, 301 nt
Filed under: uncultured bacterium
Lineage: Bacteria
Description: partial 16S ribosomal RNA
Rfam family: Bacterial small subunit ribosomal RNA
Source: RNAcentral